This 244-nucleotide ribosomal RNA is filed under the name uncultured bacterium. RNAcentral describes it as "partial 16S ribosomal RNA". It matches the Rfam family "Bacterial small subunit ribosomal RNA", at positions 534 to 776 of the family's 1533-position model. The record is from RNAcentral.
GCGAGCGUUGUCCGGAAUUAUUGGGCGUAAAGAGCUCGUAGGCGGUGUGUCACGUCGGCCGUGAAAACCUGCAGCUUAACUGUGGGCGUGCGGUCGAUACGGGCAUCACUGGAGUUCGGCAGGGGAGACUGGAAUUCCUGGUGUAGCGGUGAAAUGCGCAGAUAUCAGGAGGAACACCAGUAGCGAAGGCGGCUCGCUGGGUGGAUAUUGACGCUGAGGCGCGAAAGCGUGGGGAGCAAACAGG